UUUCUAAUCAAUUGCAAUAUGGUCCCCCAUACAAAUCUCGAUCAAUAUCUAUCAUAUUAAAAUGAUUUUAUUUUUAUUUUUCACAUUUCUUUUAUUUUUUUACUUUUUUGACAGCUUUGGAUGGAGGGACAACAUUGAAAAUGAUUGAAAAUUAUAGGGAUCUAAUUGUUCAAAUCGAAACUAUAAGGAUCAAAGUGAAACUUUUUCUAAAAUGAAGGGACCAACAGUGAAACUUAUGCUAUUUUUAUUUUUUCAUAACCUAAACUCGACUAAAGGUCAAAAGCUAGACGCGCAGAAUUUG
This 301-nucleotide long non-coding RNA is filed under the name Actinidia chinensis (golden kiwifruit). RNAcentral describes it as "long non-coding RNA (ACHI_LNC004093)". Lineage: Eukaryota; Viridiplantae; Streptophyta; Magnoliopsida; Ericales; Actinidiaceae. The record is from RNAcentral.